AGAGUACGGUGCAUAGACUGUAUAUACAUUUUUUUUUUCCGUUGGUUUUCAUGGUCAAAAUGAGAGGUCAGGUGGCCGAUCUUAAAAUAAAUCAAUACCGAUUUUUUUAUAGAGCGUUAAAGUUUUGCGAAGCCACGGGGCGGGGCUACUUGAUUGACAGUCCGGUCUGGAACGAUGGACAGGUCCUAUGGAGGAGGCAGCAGAGACUCUGCUCUCCUCGUUUGGAUUAAUUCUGAUAUAAUAACUGUUGGUUUAUUUAUCGGUGCAGCAGCAGAACAUUUUCCACAAACAGUUUUCCUGCCCGUUGGCUUGUUUUAACCAGUUUUCUACCUUCGGCUGAUUUUACCAGCAGACACUGAAAGGACUCUGAUAGUUCGAGUGAAAGUAGCAGUUCCUCCUUAAGGUCAGAGAUUGCAGCAUCUGAGGGCCUCUUCAAAAGAAGACGUAGUUGAUGAAGGCGUUCUGGAGCAGGACCAGAAAGACCACGACCAAGUAGCCUUGAGAUCUUAGGCAGCAUCUCCCUGAGACCAAAGAACUACAGACUCUUCACAACCUCCUCAAACUCUUGGUACAGGACCUCACCAUACGGGUCAAGAAGGUUUCCGUCUCAUUUCUACUCUGAAGCUCACCUUCUCCUGCUCAAACUGCUGACAAAUGUUUCUGCUGCUCUAAAGUCUGCUCUCCAGAACUUCCUAAAAACUCUCAAAGUCUCUUCUGCUGCAGGUUGCUUUGUAGAACUGUUGCAGAAAACCUCACUAAACCACAUGGAGGGGCCUCAAGAUAGUCAUCCAAAUGAAACCAUACAAAAACCAAACUAGCACAACCCAAACGCUAAAGUCUCCUGCAGCCUACCAGAGAACCUCUGAGAACAGAGAAUCAGCACAGGAACUCUUACCUUCAGGACAACCAACGUUGGUUCUCAAACCAGAAUACAGAAUGUGUCUGACCAAAAACCUGUAAAGACUCACUACAGCCAAGAUAGACACAACUCAGCUGCAGCAAAUCCACUAAUCACUGCACACAUUAGCACCAUGUGCUAACUGUGGCUAAAGAACCACAUUUACCAAGACAACUAUCUGCUACAAAGCCCUAAAACACACCAAGAAACACAUUAAAGCCUAUUUUACUGCUGGAAGCUGCAAGCCAAUGCCUAAAAAACAAACUAAAGCAACAGAGCCAAGCCCGGUUUACUGGUGAAGAGAAGCAGAGGAAAUGUUUGGCUGCAGCUAAAUAAAGCAGGAAGAUACUGAGCUGCUCAGGUGUUUCUGA
This is a long non-coding RNA of Amphiprion ocellaris (clown anemonefish), 1269 nucleotides long. Lineage: Eukaryota; Metazoa; Chordata; Actinopteri; Pomacentridae. The record is from Ensembl.